RNAcentral lists this non-coding RNA (45 nucleotides) under Schistosoma margrebowiei. Lineage: Eukaryota; Metazoa; Platyhelminthes; Trematoda; Strigeidida; Schistosomatidae. The record is from RNAcentral.
AUCCAACUGAUGAGUCCUAAAUAGGACGAAGUUCGCGUCCUGGAU